RNAcentral lists this ribosomal RNA (1409 nucleotides) under metagenome. RNAcentral's name for it is "bacterial LSU rRNA". It matches the Rfam family "Bacterial large subunit ribosomal RNA", at positions 1526 to 2925 of the family's 2925-position model. The record is from RNAcentral.
UGCUCUUUAGGCAAAUCCGGAGAGCUAGCUGAGGCGUGAUGGCGAGGUCCCUUGUGGACCGAAGUCACUGAUACCAUGCUUCCAGGAAAAUCCUCUAAGCUUCAGUCAUGCGGGGACCGUACCGUAAUCGGACACACGUGGGCGGGAUGAAUAUUCUCAGGCGCUUGAGAGAACUCAGGAGAAGGAACUCGGCAAAUUGGUACCGUAACUUCGGGAUAAGGUACGCCUGUAGUAGGUGAAGGCCCUGCGGCCGGAGCCCAACCAGGUUGCAAUGAAAUGGUGGCUGCGACUGUUAACAAAAACACAGCACUCUCAAACACGUCAAGUGGACGUAUAGGGUGUGACGCCUGCCCGGUGCCGGAAGGUUAAGUGAUGGGGUGCAAGCUCUUGAUCGAAGCCCCGGUAAACGGCGGCCGUAACAAUAACGGUCCUAAGGUAGCGAAAUUCCUUGUCGGGUAAGUUCCGACCUGCACGAAUGGCGUAACGAUGGCCACACUGUCUCCUCCUGAGACUCAGCGAAGUUGAAGUGUUUGUGAUGAUGCAAUCUCCCCGCUGCAAGACGGAAAGACCCCGUGCACCUUUACUGCAAGUUUGCAUUGGACUUUGAUGAGAUCUGUGUAGGAUAGGUGGGAGGCUUUGAAGCCGCGGCGCUAGCUGCGGUGGAGCCAACCUUGAAAUACCACCCUGAUCUCAUUGAGGCUCUAACCUAGGCCCGUCAUCCGGGUCGGGGACCGUGCAUGCUGGGCAGUUUGACUGGGGCGGUCUCCUCCCAAAGAGUAACGGAGGAGUGCGACGGUACGCUUAGCGCGGUCGGCUAUCGCGCUGAAAGUGCAAUGGCAUAAGCGUGCUUGACUGCGAGACUGACAAGUCGAGCAGGUGCGAAAGCAGGUCAUAGUGAUCCGGUGGUUCUGUAUGGAAGGGCCAUCGCUCAACGGAUAAAAGGUACGCCCGGGAUAACAGGCUGAUUCCUCCCAAGAGUUCAUAUCGACGGGGGAGUUUGGCACCUCGAUGUCGGCUCAUCACAUCCUGGGGCUGUAGCCGGUCCCAAGGGUAUGGCUGUUCGCCAUUUAAAGUGGUACGUGAGCUGGGUUCAAAACGUCGUGAGACAGUUUGGUCCCUAUCUGCAGUGGGCGUUGGAGAUUUGAGGGGGGCUGCUCCUAGUACGAGAGGACCGGAGUGGACGAACCUCUGGUGUACCGGUUGUCACGCCAGUGGCAUCGCCGGGUAGCUAAGUUCGGAAGAGAUAACCGCUGAAAUCAUCUAAGCGGGAAACUCGCCUCAAGAUAAGAUCUCCCGGGGACUCGAUCCCCCUAAAGGUUCGUCGAAGACUACGACGUUGAUAGGUCGGGUGUGUAAGGUCAGUAAUGGCCUCAGCUAACCGAUACUAAUUGACCGUGCGGCUUGAUCCG